Molecule: ribosomal RNA, 824 nt
Filed under: Acremonium sclerotigenum
Lineage: Eukaryota; Fungi; Ascomycota; Sordariomycetes; Hypocreales; Bionectriaceae
Description: eukaryotic LSU rRNA
Rfam family: Eukaryotic large subunit ribosomal RNA
Source: RNAcentral
CGGCGAGUGAAGCGGCAACAGCUCAAAUUUGAAAUCUUGGCCUCACGGUCCGAAUUGUAAUUUGUAGAGGAUGUUUCUGGCGACGUGUCUUCCGAGUUCCCUGGAACGGGACGCCAUAGAGGGUGAGAGCCCCGUCCGGUCGUACACCUAGCCUCUGUGAAACUCCUUCGACGAGUCGAGUAGUUUGGGAAUGCUGCUCUAAAUGGGAGGUAUACGUCUUCUAAAGCUAAAUACCGGCCAGAGACCGAUAGCGCACAAGUAGAGUGAUCGAAAGAUGAAAAGCACUUUGAAAAGAGGGUUAAAUAGUACGUGAAAUUGCUGAAAGGGAAGCGCUUAUGACCAGACUUGGGCUCGGUGAAUCAUCCGGCGUUCUCGCCGGUGCACUUUGCCGUCCCAGGCCAGCAUCAGUUCGCGCCGGGGGAUAAAGGUUUCGGGAAUGUAGCUCCUUCGGGAGUGUUAUAGCCCGUUGCGUAAUACCCUGGCGUGGACUGAGGUCCGCGCUCUGCAAGGAUGCUGGCGUAAUGGUCAUCAGUGACCCGUCUUGAAACACGGACCAAGGAGUCGUCUUCGUAUGCGAGUGUUCGGGUGUCAAACCCCUACGCGUAAUGAAAGUGAACGUAGGAGAGAGCUUCGGCGCAUCUCCGACCGAUCCUGAUGUUCUCGGAUGGAUUUGAGUAAGAGCAUACGGGGCCGGACCCGAAAGAAGGUGAACUAUGCCUGUAUAGGGUGAAGCCAGAGGAAACUCUGGUGGAGGCUCGCAGCGGUUCUGACGUGCAAAUCGAUCGUCAAAUAUGGGCAUGGGGGCGAAAGACUAAUCGAACCUU